This 519-nucleotide ribosomal RNA is filed under the name uncultured eukaryote. RNAcentral's name for it is "SSU rRNA". It matches the Rfam family "Eukaryotic small subunit ribosomal RNA", at positions 1161 to 1703 of the family's 1831-position model. The record is from RNAcentral.
AGGGCACCACCAGGAGUGGAGCCUGCGGCUUAAUUUGACUCAACACGGGAAAUCUCACCAGGCCCGGACACUGGAAGGAUUGACAGAUUGAGAGCUCUUUCUCGAUUCGGUGGGUGGUGGUGCAUGGCCGUUCUUAGUUGGUGGAGUGAUUUGUCUGGUUAAUUCCGAUAACGAACGAGACUCUGUCCUGCUAAAUAGUUCCCGCGUCCUUUGUUGCGCGGGAAAUUCUUCUUAGAGGGACUGGCGGCGUCUAGCCGCACGAGAUUGAGCAAUAACAGGUCUGUGUUGCCCUUAGAUGUUCUGGGCCGCACGCGCGCUACACUGAAGGGAUCAGCGUGUCUUCCCUUCCCGAGAGGGACGGGUAACCCGCUGAACCCCCUUCGUGGUAGGGAUCGGGGCUUGCAAUUAUUCCCCGUGAACCAGGAAUUCCCAGUAAGCGCAAGUCAUAAGCUUGCGUUGAUUACGUCCCUGCCCUUUGUACACACCGCCCGUCGCUACUACCGAUUGAACGUUUUAGUG